GCCCGCGUCUGAUUAGUUAGUUGGCGGGGUAACGGCCCACCAAGGCGACGAUCAGUAGCCGACCUGAGAGGGUGACCGGCCACAUUGGGACUGAGACACGGCCCAAACUCCUACGGGAGGCAGCAGUGGGGAAUAUUGCACAAUGGGGGAAACCCUGAUGCAGCGACGCCGCGUGAGCGAAGAAGUAUUUCGGUAUGUAAAGCUCUAUCAGCAGGGAAGAUAGUGACGGUACUUGAGGAGGAAGCCCCGGCUAACUAC
RNAcentral lists this ribosomal RNA (258 nucleotides) under uncultured bacterium. RNAcentral's name for it is "partial 16S ribosomal RNA". It matches the Rfam family "Bacterial small subunit ribosomal RNA", at positions 229 to 504 of the family's 1533-position model. The record is from RNAcentral.